This 446-nucleotide ribosomal RNA is filed under the name uncultured Methanosaeta sp. RNAcentral's name for it is "bacterial SSU rRNA". It matches the Rfam family "Archaeal small subunit ribosomal RNA", at positions 890 to 1338 of the family's 1478-position model. The record is from RNAcentral. Lineage: Archaea; Methanobacteriati; Methanobacteriota; Methanomicrobia; Methanotrichales; Methanotrichaceae.
GGAGCCUGCGGUUUAAUUGGAUCAACGCCGGAAAUCUCACGGGGCGACAGCAAUAUGAAGGUCAGGCUGAAGACCUUACCCGAUUAGCUGAGAGGUGGUGCAUGGCCGUCGUCAGUUCGUACUGUGAAGCAUCCUGUUAAGUCAGGCAACGAGCGAGACCCACGUCCACAGUUGCCAGCAUACCCUCCGGGGUGAUGGGUACACCGUGGAGACCGCCGCUGCUAAAGCGGAGGAAGGAGUGGGCAACGGUAGGUCAGUAUGCCCCGAAUCUCCCGGGCUACACGCGGGCUACAAUGGUUGGUACAAUGGGCAUCUACCCCGAAAGGGGAAGGAAAUCUCUUAAAGCCAAUCGUAGUUCGGAUUGAGGGCUGCAACUCGCCCUCAUGAAGCUGGAAUCCGUAGUAAUCGCGUUUCAACAGAACGCGGUGAAUACGUCCCUGCUCCUU